CCUUUGGUAUACUGGCCGAUUCGUCACAAGUUUGUGCUAUAGGAAAAUAAUUUAAAACUUUGUUUACCUGUACUUCUAUGUCUUUUAUCAGCGACUUGACCCACUAAACGUUCCUAAGUUGACUGCGUCAGAACUUGCUGAGAAACAACGACAAGCAGAUGAGAAGAGGGAACAAGAAAUCCGAAGAAAAAAGAGUGCUUCAUUGAAAGCAUCAAGGCGACGGCUACAAAUUUUAGAGGCACAGACAUUUGAGCAGGAAUUUCAGCAGAAGGAAAAACAAGAAAAGAUUGAAGAGGCAUUGGAGUCCGCGGAAAAGACAAGAGACGCGAAAUUGAAGGAGCGACAAGAGAGACAGAAGAUCCGAGAACAGAGGGCAGAGCGGGCUAGAGAAAAGGUAUAACAGAAUAUUGCAAUCCACUGGCAAUUGUGACUAUAAAAUCAUUUCAUUUUCAGGAGGUCUUAUGUAACUUUGUAUACAUUUAUUAUCGAUUCCUUUUGCUAAUUUUUGUGGGUUUCAUAUUUUGAUGAACAAAAAAAUAAAGUCUAUAGGACUUGUGUACAUUUUCGAAAAAUAUUCCAAAUUAGCUUUUCAUGAAUGCAUAA
Molecule: long non-coding RNA, 603 nt
Organism: Dreissena polymorpha
Lineage: Eukaryota; Metazoa; Mollusca; Bivalvia; Myida; Dreissenidae
Exons: 3
Source: RefSeq, a predicted model, not a curated record